CCUACGGGAGGCAGCAGUGGGGAAUCUUGCGCAAUGGACGAAAGUCUGACGCAGCCAUGCCGCGUGAGUGAUGAAGGUCUUAGGAUUGUAAAGCUCUUUCGCUCGCGACGAUGAUGACGGUAGCGAGAGAAGAAGCCCCGGCUAACUUCGUGCCAGCAGCCGCGGUGAUACGAAGGGGGCUAGCGUUGUUCGGAAUUACUGGGCGUAAAGCGUGCGCAGGCGGUUUUUUAAGCCAGAGGUGAAAUCCCGGAGCUCAACUUCGGAAUGGCCUUUGGAACUGGAAAGCUUGAGAACGGUAGAGGUGAGUGGAAUUCCCAGUGUAGAGGUGAAAUUCGUAGAUAUUGGGAAGAACACCGGUGGCGAAGGCGGCUCACUGGACCGUUUCUGACGCUCAGGCACGAAAGCGUGGGGAGCAAACAGGAUUAGAUACCCUGGUAGUCCACGCCUUAAACGAUGGAUGCUAGCCGUUGUGAGGCAUGCCUCUCAGUGGCGCAGCUAACGCGUGAAGCAUCCGCCUGGGGAGUACGGCCGCAAGGUUAAACUUAAAUGAAUUGACGG
Molecule: ribosomal RNA, 558 nt
Filed under: uncultured bacterium
Lineage: Bacteria
Description: bacterial SSU rRNA
Rfam family: Bacterial small subunit ribosomal RNA
Source: RNAcentral